CGCAGAAGCUGUUCAACAACCACACCAGAAAGAGACCAAGGAGAUCACCAAAAUACUCAACCUUAACCUCACUGUGAACACCAGCAAGAGUGAAGGGGUGGAUAGUAACAAAUCACCAAAACAUGCAAUUCAGUGCCAGACGUGGAGGUGAGCCGUGCACUGUACACAGCGUGAUGCCAAGUUCAAGAUCUUUUAUCAGCCUGGGAUCGGAGCCUAACACAGCUGAGCAGGUUGAUUCGUCACCACAAUUUUAAACUGCAAAAGAUGAAAGUCCCUGCUGCAAUUCCAGGUAAUGGCUUCCAGAGAGCUGAAGUUCAGAGAUAUUAGCAAAUAUACUUCCCAUGCCAAGGCCAGAAACUUUUUGAACUAAGGCGUAUGCUUCGACUGGUAAAACUUCUCAAAAUAUUUAUGACUUUGAAGGUGUCUUGUUCAUUAAAGAUAGUUUCCAUAACAGGCUCGUCAAACUGGGACAUGAUCAAUAGGCCUGUAAAUGUUUCAGCACUGGCUCUACAGAGCGUGUGAAUUAUUGAAAUGAUGGACUGAAAUACAAGCUCGGAGCAUGGAUGACUAUGUUGUGGAGGGAAAGGAGCAGUCAGCAUUAUGAAGAGCAGUCAUUCUACACCCCCAUGCGUAUAUGGACCUGACAGUGUUUCACAGUACUUCAAAAGCAAAUUUCUCUUUCAAGAUGUAUCUUCUCUGGUAGAGGGUCCGCAACCUUCUUGUCUAAGUGGAGAUGCUAUCUAUGCCUAUGGAGACAACAAGUACCUGACCCCCUCAAACCAGAAAAGUGAGGACUGGAGUUAAACGCUUUUGGAUGCAUUUCAUGCUUCACUGAUGCGGGAUGAAAACACAGGCAAUCUUCAAGAGAGCCAAGCUGUGGAGACGACUUAUUUAUCAAACCCGGCUUUGUGGAGAGGUGGAUCAGACUACAGCCCCCUAAAUCACCUGCAUGAAAACGGGAGGGAGAAAAGACGAAAUCACUUUAUUACAUGGUGCACAGGCAGAGAGGCACUGGAGCCAAGACUAAAACCAAAAAGGAAAAGAAAGAGAAAUGUGUGGUUAGGAAAAACGGAAAGCUCUCCUCCAAAAAUAGUAAGACAUGUUUUGUUUUUCAAAAUGAAUCGAAGUGAGGUAUACCAAAAAUAAUUACGUUUUUCCGGGUACUAAGAUAGAUUCGUUUCAUCGGAUUUUCUUUAACUCAACGACCCACUGAGUGCAAUUUUAACCAAAAAGGAGCCUACACCUGUUUAAGAAAUCCUAAAUGUCUAAAUGAGGGUUUGAUUGGAUGCCAAGGUCAAGUUCGAGCUUCCUUUUCUGAAUUUAAACAGAUAAAAGCUGCUUUGAAUCCUAAGCCUUCAUUAUGUGCAGCAGGAGGACUCGAACAAAGCUAAAUGGAACUUCCUCAACAAAGACAUCCCAGGACUAUUCAUGGAGGAACAAGCUGAAUUCGCCCCUCGCUGUGUGAAGUAUAGGGGGAUUGCAUGAAGCUCGGAGUGACCCAGACAAUGUAACAGGCACUUCACUACAAGACUGGCAGAUUCAAAAACAACCACAGAAAUGAAUAGGCUUUUAAGAGUAAGA
Long non-coding RNA from Boleophthalmus pectinirostris (great blue-spotted mudskipper), 1581 nucleotides. RefSeq lists it as uncharacterized. NCBI's taxonomy places the organism in Eukaryota, Metazoa, Chordata, Actinopteri, Gobiiformes, Gobiidae. The transcript is spliced from 5 exons. The record is from RefSeq and is a predicted model, not a curated record.